AUCCUGGCUCAGAACGAACGUUAGCGGCGCGCCUAACACAUGCAAGUCGAGCGAGAAGGGGGCAACCCCUGUAAAGCGGCGCACGGGUGAGUAACACGUAGGUAAUCUACCUCGAGGUGGUGGAUAACCUUCCGAAAGGAGGGCUAAUACAGCAUGGGACCACGUCUUCGAAAGAGGAUGAGGUAAAAGCGGGCCUCUAUACAUAAGCUCGCGCCACGAGAUGAGCCUGCGGCCCAUCAUGGUAGUUGGUAGGGUAACGGCCUACCAAGCCGAAGACGGGUAGCUGGUCUGAGAGGAUGAUCAGCCACACUGGAACUGAGACACGGUCCAGACUCCUACGGGAGGCAGCAGUGGGGAAUCUUGCGCAAUGGGCGAAAGCCUGACGCAGCGACGCCGCGUGAGUGAUGAAGGCCUCGGUGUAAGCUCUGUGGAGGGGGACGGAAGU
RNAcentral lists this ribosomal RNA (445 nucleotides) under uncultured bacterium. Its description in RNAcentral is "bacterial SSU rRNA". It matches the Rfam family "Bacterial small subunit ribosomal RNA", at positions 16 to 452 of the family's 1533-position model. The record is from RNAcentral.